AGAACGAACGCUGGCGGCAGGCUUAACACAUGCAAGUCGAGCGCGUGUAGCAAUACACGAGCGGCGCACGGGUGAGUAACGCGUGGAUAUCUGCCUUUUGGUUCGGAAUAACCCCGGGAAACUGGGGCUAAUACCGGAUGGUUCCUACGGGAUAAAGAUUUAUCGCCAAAAGAUGAGUCCGCGUCCGAUUAGCUAGUUGGUGAGGUAACGGCUCACCAAGGCGACGAUCGGUAGCUGGUCUGAGAGGACGAUCAGCCACACUGGGACUGAGACACGGCCCAGACUCCUACGGGAGGCAGCAGUGGGGAAUAUUGGACAAUGGGGGCAACCCUGAUCCAGCCAUGCCGCGUGAGUGAUGAAGGCCUUCGGGUUGUAAAGCUCUUUUGGCGGGGACGAUGAUGACGGUACCCGCAGAUAAGCCCCGGCUAACUUCGCGCCAGCAGCCGC
RNAcentral lists this ribosomal RNA (447 nucleotides) under uncultured bacterium. Its description in RNAcentral is "SSU rRNA". It matches the Rfam family "Bacterial small subunit ribosomal RNA", at positions 26 to 518 of the family's 1533-position model. The record is from RNAcentral.